Molecule: ribosomal RNA, 821 nt
Filed under: uncultured bacterium
Lineage: Bacteria
Description: bacterial SSU rRNA
Rfam family: Bacterial small subunit ribosomal RNA
Source: RNAcentral
CGAGUCGCGCGAGAAUGUAGCAAUACAGGAAAGCGGCGAAAGGGAGAGGACAACAUGGGAAUCUGCCCGGGGGUCGAGGAUAGCGUCGGGAAACUGACGGUAAUACUCGAUAAUGUUUACGGACCAAAGGUUUACUGCCCCUGGAUGAGCCCAUGCCCCAUUAGCUAGUUGGCGGUGUAAUAGACCACCAAGGCGAUGAUGGGUAGCUGGUGCGAGAGCACGACCAGCCUCACUGGCACUGAGACACUGGCCAGACACCUACGGGUGGCUGCAGUCGAGAAUCUUCGGCAAUGGACGAAAGUCUGACCGAGCGACGCCGCGUGCGGGACGAAGACCUUCGGGUUGUAAACCGCUGUCGAGGGGGAUUAAGGGCAACUUGAAAGAACCCUGGAGGAAGGAGAGGCUAAGCUCGUGCCAGCAGCCGCGGUAAGACGAGCUCUCCAAACGUUAUUCGGUAUCACUGGGCUUAAAGAGUUCGUAGGCGGCUUUACAGGUGGGGUGUGAAAGCCCUCGGCUCAACCGAGGAAUUGCGCCCCAAACCGUAAGGCUUGAGGGAUAUAGGGGUAAGCGGAACAGAUGGUGGAGCGGUGAAAUGCAUUGAUAUCAUCUGGAACACCGGUGGCGAAGGCGGCUUACUGGAUAUUUUCUGACGCUGAGGAACGAAAGCUAGGGUAGCGAACGGGAUUAGAUACCCCGGUAGUCCUAGCCGUAAACGAUGAGCACUAGUUUGAAGGACUCUCACAGUCUUUCGAACGUAGCGAAGUGUUAAGUGCUCCGCCUGGGGAGUAUGGUCGCAAGGCUGAACUCAAAGGAAUUGACGG